This 482-nucleotide ribosomal RNA is filed under the name uncultured bacterium. RNAcentral's name for it is "partial 16S ribosomal RNA". It matches the Rfam family "Bacterial small subunit ribosomal RNA", at positions 30 to 507 of the family's 1533-position model. The record is from RNAcentral.
AUUGAACGCUGGCGGCAUGCUUUACACAUGCAAGUCGAACGGUAACAGGCCGCAAGGUGCUGACGAGUGGCGAACGGGUGAGUAAUGCAUCGGAACGUGCCCAGUCGUGGGGGAUAACUACUCGAAAGAGUAGCUAAUACCGCAUACGAUCUAUGGAUGAAAGCGGGGGACCGUAAGGCCUCGCGCGAUUGGAGCGGCCGAUGUCAGAUUAGGUAGUUGGUGGGGUAAAGGCUCACCAAGCCAACGAUCUGUAGCUGGUCUGAGAGGACGACCAGCCACACUGGGACUGAGACACGGCCCAGACUCCUACGGGAGGCAGCAGUGGGGAAUUUUGGACAAUGGGCGCAAGCCUGAUCCAGCAAUGCCGCGUGCAGGAAGAAGGCCUUCGGGAUGUAAACUGCUUUUGUACGGAACGAAACGGCUCUGGUUAAUACCCGGGGCUAAUGACGGUACCGUAAGAAUAAGCACCGGCUAACUACGUG